GACGAACGCUGGCGGCGUGCCUAAUACAUGCAAGUCGAGCGAGCUGAACCAGCAGAUUCACUUCGGUGAUGACGCUGGGAACGCGAGCGGCGGAUGGGUGAGUAACACGUGGGUAACCUGCCCUAAAGUGGGGGAUAACAUUUGGAAACAGAUGCUAAUACCGCAUAAAUCUUGGAACCUCAUGGUUCCAAGCUGAAAGAUGGCGUAAGCUAUCGCUUUUGGAUGGACCCGCGGCGUAUUAGCUAGUUGGUGAGGUAAAGGCUCACCAAGGCGAUGAUACGUAGCCGACCUGAGAGGGUGAUCGGCCACAUUGGGACUGAGACACGGCCCAAACUCCUACGGGAGGCAGCAGUAGGGAAUCUUCCACAAUGGACGAAAGUCUGAUGGAGCAACGCCGCGUGAGUGAAGAAGGUUUUCGGAUCGUAAAACUCUGUUGUUGGAGAAGAACGUACGUGAGAGUAACUGUUCACGUAGUGACGGUAUCCAACCAGAAAGCCACGGCUAACUACGUGCCAGCAGCCGCCGUAAAAC
This 531-nucleotide ribosomal RNA is filed under the name uncultured bacterium. Its description in RNAcentral is "bacterial SSU rRNA". It matches the Rfam family "Bacterial small subunit ribosomal RNA", at positions 28 to 526 of the family's 1533-position model. The record is from RNAcentral.